RNAcentral lists this ribosomal RNA (497 nucleotides) under uncultured bacterium. Its description in RNAcentral is "partial 16S ribosomal RNA". It matches the Rfam family "Bacterial small subunit ribosomal RNA", at positions 28 to 507 of the family's 1533-position model. The record is from RNAcentral.
GAUGAACGCUGGCGGCGUGCCUAAUACAUGCAAGUCGAACGCAUAGCGAAAGGUGCUUGCACCUUUCAAGUGAGUGGCGAACGGGUGAGUAACACGUGGACAACCUGCCUCAAGGCUGGGGAUAACAUUUGGAAACAGAUGCUAAUACCGAAUAAAACUUAGUGUCGCAUGACACAAAGUUAAAAGGCGCUUCGGCGUCACCUAGAGAUGGAUCCGCGGUGCAUUAGUUAGUUGGUGGGGUAAAGGCCUACCAAGACAAUGAUGCAUAGCCGAGUUGAGAGACUGAUCGGCCACAUUGGGACUGAGACACGGCCCAGACUCCUACGGGAGGCUGCAGUAGGGAAUCUUCCACAAUGGGCGAAAGCCUGAUGGAGCAACGCCGCGUGUGUGAUGAAGGCUUUCGGGUCGUAAAGCACUGUUGUAUGGGAAGAACAGCUAGAAUAGGAAAUGAUUUUAGUUUGACGGUACCAUACCAGAAAGGGACGGCUAAAUACGUG